RNAcentral lists this ribosomal RNA (486 nucleotides) under uncultured bacterium. Its description in RNAcentral is "partial 16S ribosomal RNA". It matches the Rfam family "Bacterial small subunit ribosomal RNA", at positions 28 to 507 of the family's 1533-position model. The record is from RNAcentral.
GAUGAACGCUGGCGGCGUGCCUAAUACAUGCAAGUCGAACGCUGGAGAUCUAGCUUGCUAGAUCGAAGGAGUGGCGAACGGGUGAGUAAUACAUAAGCAACCUACCCACGAAGACUGGGAUAAUCUCUGGAAACGGGGACUAAUACCGGAUAGGUAAUCGGAAGGCAUCUUCUGGUUAUUAAAGGUUAAAAACACUGGUGGAUGGGCUUAUGGCGCAUUAGUUAGUUGGUGAGGUAACGGCCCACCAAGACGAUGAUGCGUAGCCGGCCUGAGAGGGUGAACGGCCACAUUGGGACUGAGACACGGCCCAGACUCCUACGGGAGGCAGCAGUAGGGAAGUUGCGGCAAGGGGGGCAACCCUGACCGAGCAACGCCGCGUGAGUGAAGACGGCCUUCGGGUUGUAAAGCUCUGUUGUAAGGGAAGAACGGUAGAUAGAGAAUAUCUAAGUGACGGUACCUUACCAGAAAGCCACGGCUAACUACGUG